AGUGAACGCUGGCGGCAGGCCUAACACAUGCAAGUCGAGCGGCAGCGCGUCCGACCACCCUCGGGUGGUCGGGUGGCGGCGAGCGGCGGACGGGUGAGGAAUGCAUCGGAAUCUGCCUCGUUGUGGGGGAUAACGUAGGGAAACUUACGCUAAUACCGCAUACGACCUACGGGUGAAAGUGGGGGACCUUCGGGCCUCACGCGAUGAGAUGAGCCGAUGCCGGAUUAGCUAGUUGGCGGGGUAAAGGCCCACCAAGGCGACGAUCCGUAGCUGGUCUGAGAGGAUGAUCAGCCACACUGGAACUGAGACACGGUCCAGACUCCUACGGGAGGCAGCAGUGGGGAAUAUUGGACAAUGGGGGCAACCCCUGAUCCAGCCAUGCCGCGUGUGUGAAGAAGG
This 399-nucleotide ribosomal RNA is filed under the name uncultured bacterium. Its description in RNAcentral is "bacterial SSU rRNA". It matches the Rfam family "Bacterial small subunit ribosomal RNA", at positions 30 to 414 of the family's 1533-position model. The record is from RNAcentral.